Molecule: ribosomal RNA, 253 nt
Filed under: uncultured bacterium
Lineage: Bacteria
Description: partial 16S ribosomal RNA
Rfam family: Bacterial small subunit ribosomal RNA
Source: RNAcentral
UUGAACGCUGGCGGCAUGCCUUACACAUGCAAGUCGAACGUUAGAGGGGCAACCCUUGAGAGUGGCGAACGGGUGAGUAAUAUAUCGGAACGUGCCCAGUCGUGGGGGAUAACGCAGCGAAAGCUGCGCUAAUACCGCAUACGAUCUAAGGAUGAAAGCGGGGGAUCGCAAGACCUCGCGCGAUUGGAGCGGCCGAUAUCAGAUUAGGUAGUUGGUGGGGUAAAAGCCCCACCAAGCCGACGAUCUGUAGCUG